GAUGAACGCUGGCGGCGUGCCUAAUACAUGCAAGUCGAGCGAACAGAUGAGGAGCUUGCUCCUCUGACGUUAGCGGCGGACGGGUGAGUAACACGUGGAUAACCUACCUAUAAGACUGGGAUAACUUCGGGAAACCGGAGCUAAUACCGGAUAAUAUAUUGAACCGCAUGGUUCAAUAGUGAAAGACGGUUUUGCUGUCACUUAUAGAUGGAUCCGCGCCGCAUUAGCUAGUUGGUAAGGUAACGGCUUACCAAGGCAACGAUGCUUAGCCGACCUGAGAGAGUGAUCGGCCACACUGGAACUGAGACACGGUCCAGACUCCUACGGGAGGCAGCAGUAGGGAAUCUUCCGCAAUGGGCGAAAGCCUGACGGAGCAACGCCGCGUGAGUGAUGAAGGUCUUCGGAUCGUAAAACUCUGUUAUUAGGGAAGAACAAAUGUGUAAGUAACUAUGCACGUCUUGACGGUACCUAAUCAGAAAGCCACGGCUAACUACGUG
This 497-nucleotide ribosomal RNA is filed under the name uncultured bacterium. RNAcentral describes it as "partial 16S ribosomal RNA". It matches the Rfam family "Bacterial small subunit ribosomal RNA", at positions 28 to 507 of the family's 1533-position model. The record is from RNAcentral.